This 484-nucleotide ribosomal RNA is filed under the name uncultured bacterium. Its description in RNAcentral is "partial 16S ribosomal RNA". It matches the Rfam family "Bacterial small subunit ribosomal RNA", at positions 30 to 507 of the family's 1533-position model. The record is from RNAcentral.
AUUGAACGCUGGCGGCAGGCCUAACACAUGCAAGUCGAGCGGAUGAAGGGAGCUUGCUCCUGGAUUCAGCGGCGGACGGGUGAGUAAUGCCUAGGAAUCUGCCUGGUAGUGGGGGAUAACGUCCGGAAACGGGCGCUAAUACCGCAUACGUCCUGAGGGAGAAAGUGGGGGAUCUUCGGACCUCACGCUAUCAGAUGAGCCUAGGUCGGAUUAGCUAGUUGGUGGGGUAAAGGCCUACCAAGGCGACGAUCCGUAACUGGUCUGAUAGGAUGACCAGUCACACUGGAACUGAGACACGGUCCAGACUCCUACGGGAGGCAGCAGUGGGGAAUAUUGGACAAUGGGCGAAAGCCUGAUCCAGCCCUGCCGCGUGUGUGAAGAAGUUCUUCGGAUUUUAAAGCACUUUAAGUUGGGAGGACGGGCAGUAAGUUAAUACCUUGCUGUUUUGACGUUACCAACAGAAUAAGCACCGGCUAACUUCGUG